CGGGCCAUUUCCCAUGGCGCCCUGUCUCAAAUGUCUGACAUCAAGAACAUGGAAGACCAGUUUUGGAGCAGUGCUGAUAGUUGGAAAAUAUACAAAUAAACAUCCGUAAAUGUACUUUUUCUUUUUUUUUUUUACAUUAGUCAAGUGAUGUGCCUGAUCUUGCUGAGUGGUUUAUAUGAGACAAAACAACUUUGACUGCAACGUUCACUGCAUAAAUGACCAUGCAGAACUGUAAGGUCACUGAGCAGCAGCCUUUGGGGCUGAAAAAUAAAGCCAACACUUAGGGAGACGAAAGUGGGUCAGACCGAGCAUGUGAGGGGCCCUGAAAGGAGGCUGCCAGACCAUUCUCCCCCCGAACUCCAGAUGCUCUAUUUGUGGAAGUAUCCAUGGUGAUGAUGACUUGCAGUCAUGGAAAAGGGGCGGAUGGACAAGUGGAUGUGUCUAUUUGGCACACAUGGCAGCACUCUCAGCAGUCCACAGCGGGGUGAUUUCAUAACUGCAGUCCAGAAAAGGUAAAGACAACAGAGACCAGACCAUCAGUCAUCAACCAAUCAAAGUGGACAUAAGUAAAUAAGAAACACCUGGGCUAAUACUGACUGUCUAGCUUCGGGGGCAACGACACCAGAGUCUCUGCAAGUGACUCAGGCAUGUUUCAGCAUGUGUGUGAGAACAUGCCCUCUCUGCAUUACCCAGCUCUGUUCUGUUCAGUGUCUGUGCCCUCUGUACAGAAAAUGUGACGUUACAUUGCAGAGUCCAGGUUCAGGCCGGACGGUGUGGAGAUCAAGGUGGCUCGGAGGAACGAGUCCAGGGGGUGAGAGAGGUGGAGUGGUGGGUGAAGAGAAAACAAAAAGUGCAAAAAAGAGGAUGAAAUGCUGCAGCCCUCCCCUCUGUCUCGUCCCCCUUCAGUCAGUGCUGACUGUGUGGAGCAGUGUGUCCCCCCCACCCCCACCCCCUCUUCCCAACUCCUCCUACUCCUCCCUUCCCCACUCCUGUGUGGAAUUGGGUUUACAUAACCCACUGCAGUCUGAGAUAACGCAGCACACAACUCAUGACGACGCCAUCUCUCUCAAGGCAACAAAGACACACAGCAUUUGCAUGAAGCAGCAUCAAACAUUCAUAGUAUGCACUAUAUAUAGUGUAGCAUGUGCUAUACUGAGGAGGCGACGGCUUCUUCUUCUUUUUCACUGCUGUGGGUUGCGUAAUCAAGCACGUACAGGCAUCUGCACACGCAGGCCUGCUCUGAGUAAAAGCCACAACUUCCCCUAAGCAAUGAGGGGUUCAGUCACACAAUCUCACUCCAACCAAGAAGCUUCUGUAUGAAUUUUCAGGGAACUGGGCUCUGAUUCUAAACCCAGAAAAGGCUCUUUUUAAACACUGCUGUCCUGACAGAACCCCUCUUGAACACAAGCUUGUACCGUGUGAACAGACCUCAAGAGUUUUUUUUCCCCUGUAGUGACAGUAGAUUGUAACCACGUCAAAGCGGUGUGUGUGUGUGUGUGGCACAGGGAGGCCGUUGUCAUGAGAGAGAAUGCAGGCAUUUUAUGAAACUCUUACUUAAUCACUUAGUUAGUGUUGUACCAGUUUUGUAUUCUGGGUGGCUACAACCAGUUCUGUCUGGACAGGGCUGGGGGAGAGGUCGGAUUCAAGGGCUGUUAUCUAUCUCUGGGAACCAAGUUAAAUGCUUCUGCGAGUGUUUUUGUGUGUGUGUGUGUGUCUGUGUGAGGGAAUGUGCGUCAUUCUGGCUGAUGAACUUGGAUCGGUAACCAGGACUGUUGUUCUCUACAUUCCCCUGUCACUCGUGGCUCACAAGGGAUCAAGUCACAAUACCUCACCCAGCCUCACUUGCUUUCUAACAACUGGAGCACUGACUUAUGAAACUCUUUUUGAGGGUCUUCCAAUUUCUAUUUUCAAUCAUUUCAUAAUCAUAUCAGACAGCUUGCUUUACAUCACACUACUGGAUUUUGGAUUUGAUUGAAAUACACAAAGGCCACACUGAAAACCUUACAUUUUAAAAUCUAAUGUUCAAACUGUUGAUGAAAUAAUAAUUAAUUAGCGUUAAAUAAAUAGUUCCACCAAUAGAAACAGUAUUUCUUUGUAUCUAUGUAGUCAUUUUGUGUGUUUGUGGUAGUUUUACAUCUAUUUGUUUUGUGCCUCAUUGUAGUUGCAUUGUGUUUCUUUAUCGUAGUUUUUAAUAUCUGUAUGUGGUAGUUUUGUAUCUCUUCAUAGUCGUAUGACUGACUUUCCAAAAAAAACGUUUUUUACUACAUUUUGCAUGUCGUGCUGGAAUGGACAAAAAUAUUUGUUUUUAAAUUUCAGCAUUUUAAAAAUCUGCUGUAUUUGUAAGUGUGCAGAGAUUUUGUGGCACUUUGAUUUCAACCCCUUUUUUUUUUUUAAUUUUCCUGAAAGUAUAUAUAAAAUUAAAAUAUGCUACUUUGGCUCUAAUGCAGCAAUUUCCACUCUGUGGUCUGGAUCAAGGGCUUAGGUUUGGUCUCAACAUUGGUAACAACCCUACCACCCCUCCAAAAUAAAGAGAUUGAUUAAAACUCCUCUUAAAACAUUCUUUUCUCAGAAAGCUUUUAUGAAUGUUUGAUAUUUUGUGUUUCAUUUAAUUCAAUCAGUAUUUUCAUGUAACUUACCUCUGUUUUAUGAUGUGUUUGUUUUUCCCUUGUUUUUAAUUGCUGUUUUAAUUCCGCUAUUUUCUUUUUGUAAAGCACUUUGUAACUUAAUAAAGUUUAUUAUUAUUGUA
Molecule: long non-coding RNA, 2746 nt
Organism: Seriola aureovittata
Lineage: Eukaryota; Metazoa; Chordata; Actinopteri; Carangiformes; Carangidae
Exons: 5
Source: RefSeq, a predicted model, not a curated record